GUGCAGUGGUUUGGAAGAAAUUGAUCUGUGGGAAGAGGUUCAUAUACCACAUGAAACAUAGUUUUGAGGAAAACCCUUUUUCUGCUCCACAUUUACCUGCAUGAAGAGAGGACUGACAUUAGAUCAACCUUCCAUCAACUUGGUUAUGGCUGGAGCCUCCAGAUCCCACUGAAUUUAGAAGAUUCCCCUUUAAUCUAGAGUGAUGUGACAACAGCUGCAGGAUAUCGGCACACAGGAAGUCUCCCAGCAUGACUAUAAGAACAAAUCGUGACUCAGUGAGAGACUGCAUGGAACCCUCUAGGGAAAAAAAACAACCAAAGAAAAGAAAUUAAAUAAAGAAAAUAAAUCACAAGAGAUUAAUCUCUCAACCAUACACAAUGACUGCACUACAGCCACACAGGUUAUUCUGUUACCUUCAUGAACUGUGCUUUAACUCUGAGGACUUAGCUGUGCUUUUAGGAAGCCUCAUGUAGUACAAGCACACAGAAACCCUAAAGUUCUCAUCCUAUCUGCAACGGGGCAAAGCGUGAAUGCAUGGCCAUGCAACAAAAUCCAGUACAAUGAAAACUGAACUACUGCAUUUUUAUUAACCAUAAGCUAUCACUGCAAUGCUGAGCCUUUUAGUAAUGACAACGACAAAAAAAGGUUAAACAUCAACCACUGAUUCACAGGCAACCAGAGACUGAGGAGUGUGCGAAACAGAGCAGUCCUCACAAACAAGAGCCACUUAAGAAUCCACAAACUGCAUCUUUGGCUUCUAUAGAGAAAAGAUUCACUGCAAAUCCAUUUUGUUGCUUAUUUAGCAUUAAUUAUUUGCAACCUUUAGAAAUUACUUUAAAGCAGCUCUUCGGUUGUUGAUUUCUUCCUGUCACGCCUGCUUUCACACUGACACUCGGCACAGCACGACUGGAAGAGAGCUGCUGCUCCCAAGUGGAGUUUGAUAGGUGCUGCGCGUUGUGUUCUGCCAGUGUCCCGAUACAACAUUCAAUAGCAAAUCCUCCUCCUCUGUACUGUCAUUGCCAGGACA
This is a long non-coding RNA of Pogoniulus pusillus (Red-fronted tinkerbird), 1027 nucleotides long. RefSeq lists it as uncharacterized. The record is from RefSeq and is a predicted model, not a curated record. NCBI's taxonomy places the organism in Eukaryota, Metazoa, Chordata, Aves, Piciformes, Lybiidae. The transcript is spliced from 4 exons.